This 206-nucleotide long non-coding RNA is filed under the name Theobroma cacao (cacao). Its description in RNAcentral is "long non-coding RNA (TCAC_LNC005447)". Lineage: Eukaryota; Viridiplantae; Streptophyta; Magnoliopsida; Malvales; Malvaceae. The record is from RNAcentral.
AAAUAAAUCAUCAAAUCUUCUCUUUCUAAAUUCGGUCAGCCAUGAAUCCUUCAUGAUAUCUUGUGAUUCAACCAUGAAAAAUGCAAAAUAAUGCAUGGGAAAGGUAGAUCACAAGUCAAAAUCAAGAAAUUUUAUCUUUGAUUGCUUGAUUACUUGAAUUUUCAUACUUUUCCCUUGAAUUUUUUCACCUAGGGUUUUUGUUCUUC